This 31-nucleotide non-coding RNA is filed under the name unclassified sequences. Its description in RNAcentral is "L31-Firmicutes ribosomal protein leader". It matches the Rfam family "L31-Firmicutes ribosomal protein leader". The record is from RNAcentral.
CUAUGACUAAAAUUAGUCAUGGCGGAAGGAG